CUGGCUCAGGACGAACGCUGGCGGCGUGCCUAAUACAUGCAAGUCGAACGGCUUUUCUAUGGAAGCUUGCUUCCACUGAGAAGAUAGUGGCGAACGGGUGAGUAACACGUGGGUAACCUGCCCAUAAGAGGGGGAUAACAUCCGGAAACGGGUGCUAAUACCGCAUAGUUUUCUUGGUCGCAUGAUCGGGAAAGGAAAGACGGCCUUUGUGCUGUCGCUUAUGGAUGGACCCGCGGCGUAUUAGUUAGUUGGUGAGGUAACGGCUCACCAAGACGAUGAUACGUAGCCGACCUGAGAGGGUGAUCGGCCACAUUGGGACUGAGACACGGCCCAAACUCCUACGGGAGGCAGCAGUAGGGAAUCUUCCGCAAUGGACGAAAGUCUGACGGAGCAACGCCGCGUGAGUGAAGAAAGGUUUUCGGAUCGUAAAACUCUGUUGUCAGAGAAGAACAAGUCGGAGAGUAACUGCUCCGGCCUUGACGGUAUCUGACCAGAAAGCCACGGCUAACUACGUGCCAGCAGCAGC
Molecule: ribosomal RNA, 526 nt
Filed under: uncultured bacterium
Lineage: Bacteria
Description: bacterial SSU rRNA
Rfam family: Bacterial small subunit ribosomal RNA
Source: RNAcentral